Molecule: long non-coding RNA, 1062 nt
Filed under: Equus caballus (horse)
Lineage: Eukaryota; Metazoa; Chordata; Mammalia; Perissodactyla; Equidae
Description: lncRNA (ENSECAG00000059150.1)
Source: RNAcentral
GCCCCUGCAUAUGCUUCUUCUUUUUUUUUUUUUUUUUUGAGGAAGAUUAGCCCUGAGCCAACAUCUGACACCCAAUCCUCCUCUUUUUGCUGAGGAAGACUGGCCCUGAGCUAACAUCCAUGCCCAUCUUCCUCUCUUUUAUAUGUGGGAUGCCUGCCACAGCAUGGCUUGACAAGUGGUGCAUAGGUGUGCACCAGGGAUCCGAACCAGCGGACCCUGGGCCAUCAAAGUGGAAUGUGCGCACUUAACUGCUGAGCCACCGGGCCAGCCUCCCCAGCAUGCUUCUGAGUUACCUUCAUGAAACCUGUGCUGCACUUGUGAAGGUCUCUGGAAGGAAUGGACUGCUGUUAUGCCUGAUGUUCUUAUUCUCCAUGAGAUGCCACGGUAUGGCUAUCGAUCAUCAAUUUAAGGUUGAUUCUGUUUCUCUACAUCAUUUAUAACGUUAUUAUCAUCCUCCUGAAUAUAAUGCUUUCAGCGUGGAUAUCACGCAUAAAGAACAGCAAUUUCAUACUUAACAUUCUCAAAAGAUAGAUAUCACAGCUCAGGAUAGUAAAUCAAGAAAGUAGUGCAUUUUUACAACUUGGCAAUCAAGGCACAUUUGCUUAUGACUUUUAAAACAGAAAAUGUAAAGGGACAAUAAGAAAAUUUUCUGUCGCUAGUUUGAGAUAUAAUUCUAAGAAUCCUUUCAGCUUUAAAAUUCUGAUUUUAAUUUUAAAUCAACUUGUCAGUGAAUAUUAUACUCUUUUGAAUGUAUCUUUAUUUAAUAACAUUUUUUUAAUAAAACUUCUUAACUAUCUUUCAGAAUGAACCUGAGAUUUAAAAUACUUCCUAAGAGCACUCUCUCAUCUGAGAGAGUUUCUUUGGUGUUCUUAUAUUAACAACGAAAAGGAGGAGGGAGUUUAGAAUGGGGGCUAGAAUGAGAAAAAGCUUCAAUAUAAAAUUGUAAGCAAUUGAAAUAUCUUGUAUAUACCUGCAACAAAACAGGGAAUUUAGCUGUGUAUACUGCCACCUAUAAUUCACUGAAGUAUAACAUUCUUCUCAGAUAAAAGAAGGAAAUUCACA